Molecule: ribosomal RNA, 492 nt
Filed under: uncultured bacterium
Lineage: Bacteria
Description: partial 16S ribosomal RNA
Rfam family: Bacterial small subunit ribosomal RNA
Source: RNAcentral
GAUGAACGCUAGCUACAGGCUUAACACAUGCAAGUCGAGGGGAAACGUCAUCGAAAGCUUGCUUUUGAUGGGCGUCGACCGGCGCACGGGUGAGUAACGCGUAUCCAACCUGCCCAUCACUUGGGAAUAACCUUGCGAAAGUAAGACUAAUACCCAAUGAUAUCCCACGAAGGCAUCGGAAUGGGAUUAAAGAUUUAUCGGUGAUGGAUGGGGAUGCGUCUGAUUAGCUUGUUGGCGGGGUAACGGCCCACCAAGGCAACGAUCAGUAGGGGUUCUGAGAGGAAGGUCCCCCACAUUGGAACUGAGACACGGUCCAAACUCCUACGGGAGGCAGCAGUGAGGAAGAUUGGUCAAUGGGCGAGAGCCUGAACCAGCCAAGUAGCGUGCAGGAAGACGGCCCUAUGGGUUGUAAACUGCUUUUAUAAGGGAAUAAAGUGGGUCACGUGUGACUUUUUGCAUGUACCUUAUGAAUAAGGACCGGCUAAUUCCGUG